RNAcentral lists this ribosomal RNA (253 nucleotides) under uncultured bacterium. RNAcentral's name for it is "partial 16S ribosomal RNA". It matches the Rfam family "Bacterial small subunit ribosomal RNA", at positions 524 to 776 of the family's 1533-position model. The record is from RNAcentral.
UACGGGGGGGGCGAGCGUUGUUCGGAAUUACUGGGCGUAAAGGGCGCGUAGGCGGUGCUCUAAGUCGGAUGUGAAAACUCUGGGCUCAACCCAGAGCCUGCAUCCGAAACUGGAGUGCUAGAGUUCUGGAGGGGGUAGCGGAAUUCCUGGUGUAGCGGUGAAAUGCGUAGAUAUCAGGAGGAACACCGGUGGCGAAGGCGGGUCUCUGGGCAGUAACUGACGCUGAGGAGCGAAAGCGUGGGGAGCGAACAGG